This is a non-coding RNA of Peromyscus maniculatus bairdii (prairie deer mouse), 516 nucleotides long. NCBI's taxonomy places the organism in Eukaryota, Metazoa, Chordata, Mammalia, Rodentia, Cricetidae. The record is from RefSeq and is a predicted model, not a curated record.
GGAGAGGACAGACACACAGGUACACAGCCAGCUCAACACACGGGAGCCUGGGACACCUAUCACCACGUGACCUCACCACCCAAACUAAUCCCGACAACUGCGAACCAGAUACAAAGACUCACCACCACCUCAGCGGACCCCUGACCUUGGACACACACGACAUGGCCUGGCCAGUGAAGGAGGAGGCAGAGCAGCGCCCACAGCUGCCUCCCAUCGCUGGACCCUUGUGGAUGCCAGAAGACCAGGACAUGGGAGUGUCAGGAUGUGACUGGUUCUGACCAGUGCAACGGGAAGGAGAGGUCACACAGGAAGCUUCUGGAGCCGGCACGAGCCUCACCAGGAUCUGCACCACCACAGACAGGUGCCUCAUCAGCCUGGGAUCCACAAAGGCCAUACUUGGCAGAGUCUCCCUCCUGGCCACCAGUCAAAGAUAAACUGUUUCAGGGCUGGUGGGAUGGCUCAGCUGGUAAAGGGGCUUGCUGCCAGGCCUGACGACCCGAGUUCGAUCCCCGGGAA